Molecule: ribosomal RNA, 253 nt
Filed under: uncultured bacterium
Lineage: Bacteria
Description: partial 16S ribosomal RNA
Rfam family: Bacterial small subunit ribosomal RNA
Source: RNAcentral
UACGGAGGGUGCAAGCGUUAUCGGGAAUUAUUGGGCGUAAAGCGUCCGUAGGUGGUUGAGUAAGUCUGCUGUUAAAGCGUGGAGCUUAACUCCAUACCGGCAGUGGAAACUACUGGACUAGAGUGCGGUAGGGGUCAGGGGAAUUCCCAGUGUAGCGGUGAAAUGCGUAGAUAUUGGGAAGAACACCGGUGGCGAAAGCGCCUGACUGGGCCUGCACUGACACUGAGGGACGAAAGCUAGGGGAGCGCAAGGG